AGGCUUUGACUGGUGGCAAUUUUUCAUCUAUGCCUCGAAAUAUGGCAGAAAUAUUGCACUCGUCCCGGCCUGU
Molecule: microRNA precursor, 73 nt
Filed under: Daphnia pulex (common water flea)
Lineage: Eukaryota; Metazoa; Arthropoda; Branchiopoda; Diplostraca; Daphniidae
Description: Dpu-Mir-92-P3_pre stem-loop
Source: RNAcentral